Molecule: ribosomal RNA, 500 nt
Filed under: uncultured bacterium
Lineage: Bacteria
Description: partial 16S ribosomal RNA
Rfam family: Bacterial small subunit ribosomal RNA
Source: RNAcentral
AUUGAACGCUGGCGGCAUGCCUUACACAUGCAAGUCGAACGGCAGCACGGGAGCAAUCCUGGUGGCGAGUGGCGAACGGGUGAGUAGUGUAUCGGAACGUGCCCAGUCGUGGGGGAUAAAGCAGCGAAAGCUGUGCUAAUACCGCAUACGAUCUAUGGAUGAAAGCGGGGGAUCGCAAGACCUCGCGCGAUUGGAGUGGCCGAUAUCAGAUUAGCUAGUUGGUGGGGUAAAGGCUCACCAAGGCGACGAUCUGUAGCUGGUCUGAGAGGACGACCAGCCACACUGGAACUGAGACACGGUCCAGACUCCUACGGGAGGCAGCAGUGGGGAAUUUUGGACGAUGGGCGCAAGCCUGAUCCAGCAAUGCCGCGUGCAGGAUGAAGGCCUUCGGGUUGUAAACUGCUUUUGUACGGAGCGAAAAGGCCUUCUCUAAUACAGGGGGCUCAUGACGGUACCGUAAGAAUAAGCACCGGCUAACUACGUGCCAGCCGCCGCCGUAA